Molecule: non-coding RNA, 30 nt
Filed under: Rattus norvegicus (Norway rat)
Lineage: Eukaryota; Metazoa; Chordata; Mammalia; Rodentia; Muridae
Source: RNAcentral
UGGGCAAUCAGGAUUCCUUUUCUUUACAUC